GGGCCUAUAGCUGAGACGGAUUAGCACCGAGCUUUUAACUCGGGGAGGUCGGAUCGUUACCGGACUGGGCCCA
The sequence is a transfer RNA, 73 nucleotides long. It matches the Rfam family "tRNA". Rfam says of the family: Transfer RNA (tRNA) molecules are approximately 80 nucleotides in length. Their secondary structure includes four short double-helical elements and three loops (D, anti-codon, and T loops). The record is from Rfam.